GCAAGUCGAGGGGUAACAGGGGUGCUUUCAUCCGCUGUCGACCGGCGCACGGGUGCGUAACGCGUAUAGAACUUACCUUUUACUGAGGGAUAGCCUUUAGAAAUGAAGAUUAAUACCUCAUAGUAUUGAGACUUGGCAUCAAGACUUAAUUAAAGAUUUAUCGGUAAAAGAUGGGUAUGCGUCCUAUUAGCUAGAUGGUGAGGUAACGGCUUACCAUGGCAACGAUAGUUAGGGGCCCUGAGAGGAGGAUC
RNAcentral lists this ribosomal RNA (251 nucleotides) under uncultured bacterium. RNAcentral's name for it is "partial 16S ribosomal RNA". It matches the Rfam family "Bacterial small subunit ribosomal RNA", at positions 57 to 305 of the family's 1533-position model. The record is from RNAcentral.